GGGGCCUUUGUUCAGCAGCAGAGCCUCUGCUUGGCAUGUCGAGGGUCCCGGGUUCGAUUCCCGGCAGCUCCA
RNAcentral lists this transfer RNA (72 nucleotides) under Sphaerodactylus townsendi. RNAcentral describes it as "tRNA-Ala". It matches the Rfam family "tRNA". From Rfam's summary of the family: Transfer RNA (tRNA) molecules are approximately 80 nucleotides in length. Their secondary structure includes four short double-helical elements and three loops (D, anti-codon, and T loops). Further hydrogen bonds mediate the characteristic L-shaped molecular structure. tRNAs have two regions of fundamental functional importance: the anti-codon, which is responsible for specific mRNA codon recognition, and the 3' end, to which the tRNAs corresponding amino acid is attached (by aminoacyl-tRNA synthetases). tRNAs cope with the degeneracy of the genetic code in two manners: having more than one tRNA (with a specific anti-codon) for a particular amino acid; and 'wobble' base-pairing, i.e. permitting non-standard base-pairing at the 3rd anti-codon position. Lineage: Eukaryota; Metazoa; Chordata; Lepidosauria; Squamata; Sphaerodactylidae. The record is from RNAcentral.